RNAcentral lists this ribosomal RNA (863 nucleotides) under uncultured bacterium. Its description in RNAcentral is "bacterial SSU rRNA". It matches the Rfam family "Bacterial small subunit ribosomal RNA", at positions 1 to 856 of the family's 1533-position model. The record is from RNAcentral.
GGAUCCAGACUUUGAUCCAUGGCUCAGGAUGAACGCUAAGCGACAGGCUUAACACAUGCAAGUCGAGGGGCAGCGAGGGAGUGGCAACACUUCUGUCGGCGACCGGCGCACGGGUGAGUAACGCGUAUGCAACCUGCCCUUCACAGGGGGAUAACCGGGAGAAAUUCCGACUAAUACCGCAUACGUCCCCUUGGGGGCAUCCCCUGGGGAUGAAAGAAUUAUCGGUGAAGGAUGGGCAUGCGUGAUAUUAGGUAGUUGGCGGGGCAACGGCCCACCCAAGCCCACGAUAUCUAGGGGUUCUGAGAGGAAGGUCCCCCACAUUGGUACUGAGACACGGACCAAACUCCUACGGGAGGCAGCAGUGAGGAAUAUUGGUCAAUGGACGAGAGUCUGAACCAGCCAAGUCGCGUGAAGGAAGACGGAUCUAUGGUUUGUAAACUUCUUUAGUGCGGGAACAAAGCGGCGUCGUGACGCCGGAUGAGUGUACCGCAAGAAUAAGCAUCGGCUAACUCCGUGCCAGCAGCCGCGGUAAUACGGAGGAUGCGAGCGUUAUCCGGAUUUAUUGGGUUUAAAGGGAGCGCAGGCUGCGAGGCAAGUCAGCGGUCAAAUGUCGGGGCUCAACCCCGGCCUGCCGUUGAAACUGUUUUGCUAGAGUUCGAGUGAGGUAUGCGGAAUGCGUUGUGUAGCGGUGAAAUGCAUAGAUAUGACGCAGAACUCCGAUUGCGAAGGCAGCAUACCAACUCGCGACUGACGCUGAGGCUCGAAAGCGUGGGUAUCGAACAGGAUUAGAUACCCUGGUAGUCCACGCAGUAAACGAUGAAUACUAACUGUUCGGAGGGCGACCUCUGAGUGGUAAAGCGAAA